RNAcentral lists this ribosomal RNA (525 nucleotides) under uncultured Bacteroidota bacterium. Its description in RNAcentral is "bacterial SSU rRNA". It matches the Rfam family "Bacterial small subunit ribosomal RNA", at positions 50 to 576 of the family's 1533-position model. Lineage: Bacteria; Pseudomonadati; Bacteroidota. The record is from RNAcentral.
AACACAUGCAAGUCGAGGGGUAUAGGUUUGCGGACCUAGAGACCGGCGCACGGGUGCGUAACGCGUAUGCAAUCUACCUUUUACAGAGGGAUAGCCCAGAGAAAUUUGGAUUAAUACCUCAUAGUAUUAUUGAAUGGCAUCAUUUAAUAAUUAAAGUCACAACGGUAAAAGAUGAGCAUGCGUCCCAUUAGCUAGUUGGUAAGGUAACGGCUUACCAAGGCAACGAUGGGUAGGGGUCCUGAGAGGGAGAUCCCCCACACUGGUACUGAGACACGGGCCAGACUCCUACGGGAGGCAGCAGUGAGGAAUAUUGGUCAAUGGGCGCAAGCCUGAACCAGCCAUGCCGCGUGCAGGAUGACGGUCCUAUGGAUUGUAAACUGCUUUUGUACAGGAAGAGACAGUUCUACGCGUAGAACCUUGACGGUACUGUAAGAAUAAGGAUCGGCUAACUCCGUGCCAGCAGCCGCGGUAAUACGGAGGAUCCAAGCGUUAUCCGGAAUCAUUGGGUUUAAAGGGUCCGUAGGC